CUUGAUGGUUAUAGUGUUUCAUAUUCUGCUCGGACUUUUAUUGUGGAGCUAUUUUAGAGUAGUAUUGAAGGACCCUGGUUCAGUCCCUGAGAAUUGGAGGCCAGAGCGGUUGGAGGAGAAUUUGGAGGGAGGUAGCUGUAUCAAUGAGUCGGAUUUUAGAGCACCUGAGAAUUUGGGUUCUACAUGGUCUGGGCCUGCUGGGUUGGAUAGGGGACCACAUGUGGGCUAUUGCAAUCACUGCCAGAACGGCAAACCGCCGCGUUGCCAUCAUUGCUCUGUUUGUAAGCCAAUAUGUGAUCUUUUUUUACAGCUUAUUGAUUUUCUUCAUUAAUUUCUAUUAUGUAUCUUUUAAUUUUACCAGUUUUUAUUUUACUUCGUCAAUUAACAUUUUCUAACGUGGUAUUGGGCAUUUUAUGAUAGUUUUUAUGUUCUUUUCUCUAAUGGUAUAUGUUGAAUUUUUGUAAGUUUAGGGAUGCUGCUUUUUUCUCGAGGGAUAUUUUUGGUUAUUUUUUUUGAUCUCAUUAAUGUUUUCCCUAGUUUUUCAUUCUGCCUUCCUUCAUAGAUUCUGCAUGGAAUUUUCCCCCUUAUUUCAAGGGAAGUAACUGGGAAAUUUAGUGUCUAGGAAAUUGUGCUUCAGAGAUUUUCUGAAGUUGAUCGAAUAUUAAGCAUUUGAGUUGUGUUAUCAUUAUAACGUAAAUGUAUUUGUCUAUUUUUCACCUUUAGAUUCUUUCUCGAAUCAUAAAUCCCUUUCAUUUACUGGCUGGUGCUGGUCUUAGUUGUAUUCCAUGCAAAUACGAAUUAGGUAAAUAAAGGUGGAAAGAGAGGUUUCUGAAUUUACCAAAUUCACAAGCUUUUCUUGGCAUUUGUAAGAUUUACUAAAGUUGGUUUUUUUGCCCAUAUGAUGAAAGCGUAUAUUGUUUUGUGGAUGAGUUAAGAUGAUAUCAUAAGGUGCUGAA
RNAcentral lists this unclassified non-coding RNA (956 nucleotides) under Hevea brasiliensis (rubber tree). The record is from RNAcentral. Lineage: Eukaryota; Viridiplantae; Streptophyta; Magnoliopsida; Malpighiales; Euphorbiaceae.